AUGUCUCUCCCUCUCAUCCCUCUCUCUCUCUCCUCCCUCUCUCUACUCUGUCUCUCCUCUCCUCUCUCAUUCCUCUCCUCUCUGUUUCUCCUCCCUCUCUCCUCUAUCAGUGUCUCUCCUCUCUAUGUCUCUCCUUUCUCUCUCAUCCCUCUCCCCUCUCUGUCUCUCCUCUCUCUGUGUGUCUCCUCCCUCUCUCCUCUAUCAGUGUCUCUCCUCUCUAUGUAUCUCCUUUCUCUCUCUCUGUCUGUCCGCUCUGUCUCUCCUCACUCUCCUCCCGCUCUCCUCUCUGUCUCUCCUCCCGCUCUCCUCUCUCUGUCUCUCAUCCCUCUCUCUGUCUCUCAUCCCUCUCUCCUCUCUCUGUCUCUGCCCACUCUCCUCUCUGUCUCUCCUCACUCUCAUCCCUCUCUCCUCCCUCUCAUCCUUCUCUCCUCCCGCUCUCCUCUCUCUGUCUCUCAUCCCUCUCUCCUCUCUCUGUCUCUCAUCCCUCUCUCCUCUCUCUGUCUCUCCCCACUCUGUCUCCUCACUCUCAUCCCUCUCUCCUCCCUCUCAUCCCUCUCUCCUCCCGCUCUCCUCUCUCUGUCUCUCAUCCCUCUCUCCGUCUCUCAUCCCUCUCUGUCUCUCCCCACUCUCCUCUCUGUCUCUCCUCCCACUCUCCUCUCUCUGUCUCUCCUCCCCCUCUCCUCUCUCUGUCUCUCAUCCCUCUCUAUGUCUCUCCUCUCUCUCUCAUCCCUCUCUCCUAUCUCUGUCUCUCAUCCCUCUCUAUGUCUCUCCUCUCUCUCUCAUCCCUCUCUCCUCUCUCUGUCUCUUAUCCCUAUGUCUCUCUCCUCCUUCUCUCCUCUCGGUCUCUCCUCUCUAUGUCUCUCCUCUCUCUCUCCUCUCUCUGUCUCUCAUCCCUAUGUCUCUCCUCUCUCUUUCCUCCAUCUCUCCUCUAUGUCUCUCCUCUCUCUCACAUCCCUCUCCUCGUCUCUCCUCCCUCUUCCUCUGUGUCUCUCCUCCCUCUGUCUCUCGUCCCUCUCUGUGUCUCUCCUCCCACUCGCCUCUCUCGCUCAUCCCUCCCUCUCUCUGUCUCCCCUCCCUCUCUGUGACUCUCCUCCAUCUUCCCUCUCUCCUCUCUCUCUCUGUCUCUCCUCCGUCUCUCUGUCUCUCCUCCAUCUCUCUGUCUCUCCUCCGUCUCUCCAUCUCUCUGUCUCUCCUCCGUCUCUCCGUCUCUCUGUCUCUCCUCCGUCUCUCCGUCUCUCUGUCUCUCCUCCGUCUCUCCAUCUCUCUGUCUCUCCUCCGUCUCUCCAUCUCUCUGUCUCUCCUCCGUCUCUCCGUCUCUCCUCCGUCUCUCCAUCUCUCCGUCUCUCCUCCGUCUCUCCAUCUCUCCGUCUCUCCUCCGUCUCUCCAUCUCUCCAUCUCUCCUCCGUCUCUCGGGAUCUGGGGGCCUCUAGCGGUGGCAUUUCUAAAGCAGAGAUCUAG
RNAcentral lists this long non-coding RNA (1458 nucleotides) under Oncorhynchus mykiss (rainbow trout). RNAcentral's name for it is "lncRNA (ENSOMYG00000048812.1)". Lineage: Eukaryota; Metazoa; Chordata; Actinopteri; Salmoniformes; Salmonidae. The record is from RNAcentral.